This is an RNA transcript of Cercocebus atys (sooty mangabey), 4299 nucleotides long. It is a transcript of the gene named ceramide kinase-like, with no coding region annotated. The transcript is spliced from 13 exons. NCBI's taxonomy places the organism in Eukaryota, Metazoa, Chordata, Mammalia, Primates, Cercopithecidae. The record is from RefSeq and is a predicted model, not a curated record.
GCAGCGCAGGACGCGGCUAGAGCUGGGGCUGCCGCGCCCUCCACCUCCUCCUCCAAAGGCCUCCCGGUACCCCUGGCUCGGGCCCAGCCUGCGGCUCCACCAUGCCCUGGAGGAGGCGCAGGAACCGGGUGAGUGCCCUGGAGGGCGGCCGGGAGGAAGAGCCGCCCCCGGAGGCUGCCGCUGUGCCUUCGGCGCUGUUAACGUCCCCGCAGCAGACGGAGGCGGCGGCCGAGCGGAUUCUGCUCCGGGGCAUCUUCGAGAUCGGGAGGGACAGCUGUGACGUGGUACUGAGCGAGCGAGCACUGCGGUGGCGGCCCAUUCAGCCCGAGCGCCCGGCGGGUGAUUCUAAGUAUGACUUUCUAUGUAAAGAAGAAUUUAUUGAACUCAAAGACAUAUUCUCUGUGAAACUGAAACGACGUUGGUCUGUUAAACAGCAGAGAAGUGGUACUUUAUUAGGUAUCACACUCUUCAUCUGCUUGAAAAAGGAACAAAAUAAACUAAAGAAUUCUACACUUGAUCUUAUUAAUUUAAGUGAAGACCACUGUGACAUAUGGUUUAGGCAGUUCAAGAAAAUAUUGGCAGGCUUUCCAAACAGACCGAAGUCAUUAAAAAUACUCCUUAACCCCGAAAGUCACAAAAAAGAAGCUACCCAGGUUUAUUAUGAGAAGGUUGAACCUCUGUUGAAGCUUGCAGGAAUAAAAACUGAUGUAACAGUAAUGGAAUAUGAAGGGCACGCUCUGUCACUGCUUAAGGAAUGUGAACUCCAGGGAUUUGAUGGUGUUGUCUGUGUUGGUGGAGAUGGAUCUGCUAGCGAAGUAGCCCAUGCUUUGCUUCUGAGAGCCCAGGAGAAUGCUGGGAUGGAAACAGACCGAAUCCUGAUUCCUGUCAGAGCACAGCUUCCACUUGGCUUAAUACCAGCAGGAUCUACCAAUAUACUGGCACAUUCUCUUCAUGGAGUUCCUCAUGUGAUAACUGCAACGUUGCACAUUAUAAUGGGGCAUGUACAGCUGGUCGAUGUCUGCACCUUCAGCACCGCUGGCAAGCUUCUUCGCUUUGGAUUCUCAGCCAUGUUUGGCUUUGGUGGAAGAACUUUGGCUCUGGCAGAAAAAUAUCGAUGGAUGUCCCCUAACCAACGGAGAGAUUUUGCUGUUGUUAAGGCACUGGCAAAACUUAAGGCAGAAGACUGUGAAAUAUCAUUUUUACCAUUUAACAGCUCUGAUGAUGUGCAAGAAAGGAGGGCACAGGGAUCUCCCAAAUCUGACUGUAAUGAUCAAUGGCAAAUGAUCCAGGGUCAGUUCUUGAAUGUCAGCAUUAUGGCAAUUCCUUGCCUGUGUUCAGUGGCACCUAGAGGCUUGGCACCUAAUACCAGAUUAAAUAAUGGAAGUAUGGCUCUUAUAAUUGCCCGAAACACUUCUCGGCCAGAAUUUAUAAAACACCUGAAAAGAUAUGCCAGUGUAAAAAAUCAGAAGCUAGAGCUGCAAGACAAUGUCAGCAGGUUUGGUUUGUCCCGAGUCUUCCCUCUCUGGCUGGCACACGGCUGCUGUCUCACUGAACCCACAAGUGAGUGGUCUUUCCUCUGUUCAUCCCCAAUGCCUUUUCCUAUGUCCAAUUUCCUCCUCUUAUAAGGACACCAAUCGUAUUGGAUGAGGGCCUGAAGACAUCAUUUUAGCUUAAUCACCUCUUUAAAGAUCUUAUCUCCAAAUACAGUUACAUUCUGAGGUAUAGAGGGCGAGAAUUUCAAUACAGGAAUGUGAAGUCCAAUGGGCAUGAUUGAGCACCUAGGAAUCACACUGAAUUCUGUGUAGUUGCUUGACCAUGGUUUGCCUCUAGUUUUGUAAAUGCUUCCUCUCUCCAGACUUUCUUCUCCAGGCUAAAUAUUCUGUGUUCUUUAAGGCUCAAUUCAAAUGGGAAGCUUUCCCAACAUCCAUAGACUGUUUGCCUCCUCUUGUUUCCUGCAUUGAACUCCACGCUUGCACCAUCAUGGCACUUUUGUGUAUCACAAUUGUAACUGCUCACUUCUCCUCCCCAUGCCCCAAACAUACCCUCACACAGGAUACUAAGCUCUUGGCUCCCUAAAGUCCCACUUUAACAAUGUCUGUGGCUUCACAGUUAAAGCAUUUGAAGGAUGGCUAGAUCUUCAUUUUGUGAGGUGUGCACAUGAUAACUGCUGAUUUAAGAUAAUAGACUUACUGGUGGUGGCUGUCAAUUCUUGGCAUUCCUUGGCUUACAGCUGCAUCACUCCAGUCUCUGACUCUGCCAUCCUUGGCAUUCUUCUCUCAUAAAGACAUCAAGCAUAUUGGAUUAGGGCUCACCCUAAUGACCUCAUCUUAAGUUGAUUCUACCUGCAAAGACCCUACUUCUAAACAGGUGACAUUCACAGGCACCAUGGGUUAGGACUUGAACAUAGUUGGGAUGGGGGAGGGAAAUGUAAUUUAGCCCAUAACAGGCAGUUGUUGAUAAUUCAUUUAACACACACUAACAUGAAUGAUUAUGUAGAUAAUUCUACAAGGAUGAGGCAUGUAGCCAAGGCUUUAUACCCAAGGUGGGAGAUCUAAUGCAGUUAUUGUCAAACAGUUUUGCUUGGGGCCCUCUAGUUCUGAACCUCAGUCACAGCAGCUGAUGCCCUGAUAUCAUGUACUGUUUAACUGUGUUUAUAGUAUAAACCAGAAAGUCAGCUGGACUUUGGUAUCUACAUAUGUAAAAUAUGGGUGUUGGGGAAAAUAUUAGUUUUCUGUCAACUUUUAAAACUAUGUGUUGCAUUGAGGUUUAUAUGUGGAAAAGAGGAAAAACUAUGUAGAUGGUGUUUAAUUAGGAAUAUAUCUCAUCAUUUAUCUGAAAACUGAAAUGAGUAGUUUUGCAUUCCUGCUAAAGUUACUUGGCUAUAUUUUCUUAAUUAUUUCAGAAAAUACAUAGUGCUUUUUCAGUAGAGUUUCCUUAGGCAAACAAGAAAAAAACGCAAGUAGAAGUUUACCUUGCACCAUUCUAUAAUGGUAAGUAAACAGUGAUCUUGCAGCUCAUGUCCAUUGUUAAAGUGGGAAUGGGGCAAGCAAACACCUGUUAAAAUCCAUAUUUAAUUGGCUUCCUCUUUUAAAAGAAGACAUACGUCCCAUUUUAUCUUCAGAGGUUUAGACCUGAGUUCUUCCAAAUUACAUUCCAAGUGUGAAACUUGCACUAGUUUGCUUUAUGUCAGCUAAACUAAUUGACAAGUUGAUAAACUCAAUGGAUUAUAUGUCUUCUGUAUCUACAGGCCAGCAUUAAAUAUUAUCUUUAAUUGAAAAAUCUACAGUAUCAUUAUUGUAUGCAACUUCUCACAGAUAUGUACUAUUUGUCAUAAAACAAUAUUUCUAGGUGCUAGAUCUAAACCCAGAAGGCUUUGGAUAAGAGAUUCCUUCUUCCAAAAAAAAAUUGGAGAUCCCUGCUCAUAGUCUCAAAGCUAUUAAAAUGUCAGCAUACAUGUUGAUAUUUACUUGUGAGAGAGGGCACAGUGAACUUUGUGUUAGUAGCUAGAGAUAAACCAAGUAUAAUGAUUAUUUGUAUUUAUUUUUAGUUCAAUUUUCCAUUUGUUGAGACUUACACUGUUGAGGAAGUAAAAGUUCAUCCAAGGAAUAAUACUGGUGUAUAUAAUCCAGAGGAGGAAGAGGAUGAAACUGCUUCAGAAAAUUGUUUCCCUUGGAAUGUAGAUGGUGAUUUAAUGGAAGUUGCAUCAGAGGUCCAUAUUAGAUUGCAUCCAAGACUUAUCAGUCUUUAUGGAGGAAGCAUGGAAGAAAUAAAUGAUUCCAAAGUAACAAGUAAUUGUUUCUAAAAGAAAUGUACAAACUAGAAUUUUAAUAUAAAGAAAUAUGGCCAUGCUUUAAACCUGUGGUCCCCACCCUUUUGGGGACCAGUUUCAUGGAAGACAAUUUUUCCAUAGAUGGGGAAAUGGUUUCAGGAUGAAACCGUUCCAACUCAGAUCAUCAGGCAUUAGAGUCUCAUAAGGAAUAUGGCACCCUAAACCCCUCACAUUCCAGUUCACAAUAGGGUUCGUACUUCUGUGAGAAUCUAAUGCUGCUGCUGAUCUGAGAGGAGGAGAAACUCAGUAAUGCUCCAUUGCUUUAACUUUCCGCUGUGUGGCCAGUUGGGGAUGCCUGUUUUUUAAACAGAUAUUCUAAUAUAAAUUGCUAUUUUUUGUUACUAACAAUUAGUCUCUAGGGCUUUAAAAGUCAAGAUGAAAUACCAAUUCAAAUUCUGGUUUUUACAAUGUGUUUGUUGGACACACAGAAAACUUUGCAACCAUCAUAAUACAUCAAUAUUUAACCUAAA